UGUGUACAUCCUUUCGGUCAUCUUGUUCCUUCCAUCCAAAGUGCGAGAGGAUGAUAUUACUCCCAAUAUCGCAAGGGGCGUGGACCUCCACUGUGAUAUUUUCCCUCACAUCCAGCCGGGAUGAGGAAGAUAUUAUCCCCAAGAUCACAGGGUUGUACAUCCCCUUGUGAUACUGUUCCUUAUAUCCUGGGAUGGGGAAGAUAAUACUAGUGGCAACAUCGCUGGGGUUUUACACACCCACUGUGCUAUUGUUCCAAAUAACACGAUAUGACGCCCAGUAUCACAGGGGUGGUACAUCCUCCUGUGAUAUUGUUUCUUAUAUUCAAGGAGAGAGAAUGCUAUUACUCCCAUUAUUUCAGGGGUUGUACACACGUCCUGUGAUAUUGUUCCUAAUAUCCCGAAGAGGAGAGCAUAUUACUCUCAAUAUCUCAGCGGGUGUACACCUCGUUUCUAAUAUUUUUCAUAAUAUCCAAGAUGGGAGAGGAUGAUAAGACUCCCAAUAUGCCAAGAUGUGUACAGCCGCCUGUGAUAUAGUUCCUAACAUCCAGGUGGGGAUAGGAUGAUAUUACUGCCCAUAUCGAUAUUUAGCCUACGAUCCUGAGGGGAGUGAAUGAUAUUACUCCCAAUAUCGAAGAAGGUGUACACCCCCCUGAGACACUACACCCAAUAUCCACGUUAGUACUCCCAAUAUCCCAGAAGGUGCACACACACCUGUGAUGUAGUUCCUAAUAUCCAGCGGGAAAGAGGCUGAUUUUACUUUCGAUAUCGCAGUGGGUGUACACCGCCCCCAACCCUGGGGUAUCGUUCCUAAUAUCCAGGCGGGAAGAAGAUGACAUGGAUGACAAUAUCGAAGGGGGUGGACAACUCUUCUGUGAUAUGGUUCCUGAUAUCCAGGGGGUGAAUGGAUGUUAUUACUCCCAAUAACGUAGGAACCGUACAGCCACCCUGGGAUUUUGUCCUUAAUAACCACAGGGGAGAGGUGAGAUUACUACCAACAUUGCAAGGGGUGUACACCCUCCUGUGAUAUUGUUUCUUAUAUCCAGGAAAGGAGAAGAUGGUAUUCCUACCAAUAUUGAAGAGAUAUACAACCCCCAUGGGAUAUUGUUCUAAAGAUACAGGUUGAAAGAGGAUGAGACUCCAUCCAAUAUAACAAGGAGUGUACAUCCCACCUGUGAUGUGAAUCGUAAAACCUAGAAGAGAGAAUGACAUUGCUUCCAAAAACUCACGGGGUGUACACCCACCCUGUGACAUCAUUUCUGUCAUCUAAAGGUAGAGAUGGUGAUACUACUCCCACCACCAGAGAAGGUACACACCCCCCUGUGAUAUUGUUUCUCAUAACUUGGGGGAGAGCAUGAUAUUACUUCCAGUAUGACAGUGGCUUGACACCCAGUCUGUGAUAUUGGUUCUGCACAUCAACUCUGUGCCCCUCGUUUCCCAUGCGUCCUCCCCACACUUUUGGAACCUCGGGGAAGGCUUUGUCUUUGGGUACAGAUGAAGAGACGAAGGGUCUGAGAGGUGAAGCAAGUUUGUUACUGGAAAGUGGUUCCGAUCCAGACCCCAAGAGAGGUUUCUUGGAUCUCACAGAAGAAAGAAUUCGGGGCGAGUCCAUAAAGUGAAAGCAAGUUUAUUAGGAAAGAAAAGGAAUAAAAGCAUGGCUACUCUGGCCGGGCGCAGCGGCUCACUCCUGCAAUCCUAUAACUUUGGGAUGCCGAGGCAGGUGGAUCACCUGACGUGGUAAGUUCGAGACCAGCCUGGUCCAACAUGGCAAAACCGUGUCGCCACUAAAAUACAAAAGAUUAACUGGGCGUGGUGGCAGGUGUCUGUAAUCCCAGCUACUAGGAAGGCUGAGGCAGGAGAAUCGCUUGAACCCAGGAGGUGGAGGUUGUAGUGAGCCAAGAUCACGCCACUGCAUUCCAUUUCGGCCAACAGAGCGAGACUCCAUCUCAAAAAAAAAAAAAAAAA
This is a long non-coding RNA of Macaca fascicularis (crab-eating macaque), 1962 nucleotides long. Lineage: Eukaryota; Metazoa; Chordata; Mammalia; Primates; Cercopithecidae. The record is from Ensembl.